RNAcentral lists this ribosomal RNA (468 nucleotides) under uncultured bacterium. RNAcentral describes it as "partial 16S ribosomal RNA". It matches the Rfam family "Bacterial small subunit ribosomal RNA", at positions 28 to 507 of the family's 1533-position model. The record is from RNAcentral.
GACGAACGCUGGCGGCGUGCUUAACACAUGCAAGUCGAACGGAAAGGCCCUGCUUUUGUGGGGUGCUCGAGUGGCGAACGGGUGAGUAACACGUGAGUAACCUGCCCUUGACUUUGGGAUAACUUCAGGAAACUGGGGCUAAUACCGGAUAGGAGCUCCUGCUGCAUGGUGGGGGUUGGAAAGUUUCGGCGGUUGGGGAUGGACUCGCGGCUUAUCAGCUUGUUGGUGGGGUAGUGGCUUACCAAGGCUUUGACGGGUAGCCGGCCUGAGAGGGUGCACGGCCACAUUGGGACUGAGAUGCGGCACAGACUCCUACGGGAGGCAGCAGUGGGGAAUAUUGCACAAUGGGCGGAAGCCUGAUGCAGCAACGCCGCGUGCGGGAUGACGGCCUUCGGGUUGUAAACCGCUUUCGCCUGUGACGAAGCGUGAGUGACGGUAAUGGGUAAAGAAGCACCGGCUAACUACGUG